RNAcentral lists this ribosomal RNA (492 nucleotides) under uncultured bacterium. RNAcentral describes it as "partial 16S ribosomal RNA". It matches the Rfam family "Bacterial small subunit ribosomal RNA", at positions 29 to 507 of the family's 1533-position model. The record is from RNAcentral.
AGUGAACGCUGGCGGUAGGCCUAACACAUGCAAGUCGAACGGCAGCACAGUAAGAGCUUGCUCUUACGGGUGGCGAGUGGCGGACGGGUGAGGAAUACAUCGGAAUCUACUUUUUCGUGGGGGAUAACGUAGGGAAACUUACGCUAAUACCGCAUACGACCUACGGGUGAAAGCAGGGGAUCUUCGGACCUUGCGCGAUUGAAUGAGCCGAUGUCGGAUUAGCUAGUUGGCGGGGUAAAGGCCCACCAAGGCGACGAUCCGUAGCUGGUCUGAGAGGAGGAUCAGCCACACUGGAAGUGAGCCACGGUCCAGACUCCUACGGGAGGCAGCAGUGGGGAAUAUUGGACAGUGGGCGCAAGCCUGACCCAGCCAUACCGCGUGGGUGAAGAAGGCCUUCGGGUUGUAAAGCCCUUUUGUUGGGAAAGAAAAGCAGCAGGUUAAUACCCCGCUGUUCUGACGGUACCCAAAGAAUAAGCACCGGCUAACUUCGUG